Molecule: transfer RNA, 73 nt
Filed under: Camelus bactrianus (Bactrian camel)
Lineage: Eukaryota; Metazoa; Chordata; Mammalia; Artiodactyla; Camelidae
Also listed under: 1 other name
Rfam family: tRNA
About the family: Transfer RNA (tRNA) molecules are approximately 80 nucleotides in length. Their secondary structure includes four short double-helical elements and three loops (D, anti-codon, and T loops).
Source: Rfam by way of RNAcentral
GAGGGUCUGGCUCUAGUGGUAGAGUGCAUGCUCAGCAUGCAUGAGGUCCUGGGUUCAAUCCCCAGUACCUCCA